CACGUAGGGGGCGAGCGUUGUCCGGAAUCAUUGGGCGUAAAGAGCUCGUAGGCGGCUCGGUAAGUCGGGUGUGAAACCCCCAGGCUCAACCUGGGGACGCCACCCGAUACUGCUGUGGCUAGAGUCCAGUAGGGGAGUGUGGAAUUCCCGGUGUAGCGGUGAAAUGCGCAGAUAUCGGGAGGAACACCAGUGGCGAAGGCGGCUCACUGGCCCGGUACUGACGCUGAGGUGCGAAAGCGUGGGGAGCAAACAGG
Molecule: ribosomal RNA, 254 nt
Filed under: uncultured bacterium
Lineage: Bacteria
Description: partial 16S ribosomal RNA
Rfam family: Bacterial small subunit ribosomal RNA
Source: RNAcentral